UUUAAGCUGUUAGAAGGAUAGCUUGGUUUGGACUGCGAAGAAGGACGCGACAAGCUGCGAUAAGCUCAGGCGAGCCGCAUGUAGGCAUAGAACCUGAGGUUUCCGAAUCUGAAACAGUUUUACAUAAACUGUAAAAAUGCUCGUCGUAAAAUCGGGGAGCAAGCGAACGCAGGGAAUUGAAGCAUCUUAGUACCUGCAGGAAAAGAAAUCAAUAGAGAUGCUGUUAGUAGCAGCGAGCGAAAGCAGCACAAGGCAAACCUAAUUUUUUAUUGAAAGAUAAAAAAGAUGUGGUGUCAGUGCACUUCUAAACUCAUAACUUCAAACUUCUCUGGAACGAGAGGCCUUAGAGCAUGAUAGCUGCGUAGAAGAAAUGAGCAUGGAGAUUGCUGACAAAGAGUAGCACUUCCUGGAUUGGAGGUGUGAAUACGGCACUACUAUGUGCCAACUUUAAAAAUGAGUCCAAGUCCGAUAGCGAAAUAGUACCGCGAGGGAAAGCUGAAAAGCACCUUUGACGAGGUGUGAAAAGACUUCAAAUCUAACAGUUAUUGAUAGUUACAGCGUUGAGUUGUAACGUGCGUUCUGAAGAACGAGCCAAGGAGUGAAGGUAAAUGGCGAGGUUAAUUAUCUUUGCGAUAAGAAGCCGUAGCGAAAGCGAGAGAUCGUAUGCAAAAAAGAUCCGCGUAUGAAAAUGCGUCGAGUUAUUUACCUUCGACCCGAAGCCAGAUGAUCUAUUCAUGCUCAGGGUGAAGUCUUCCUAACGGAGGAUGGAGGCCCGAACAAGUGUUACGAGCAAGUAUUUUGAUGAAGUAUGAUUAGGGGUGAAAAGCCUCUCUAAUCUGGCGAUGUCUGGUUCCUGCUGAAAUAUACUUUAGUAUAGGCUUGUUGCGUUGACUAACAAGGUAAAGUACAGAUUGGACUUGCAGAGGAUUUUUCCUACGGAGUACUUUCUAACUAAGAAUUUGUUAGUAACUUGCAACAGGACUCAGGGCUGGGGCGUAAGGUUCCAGUCCGAAACCGGAAAAACGGAGAUUGAGGUUAAGGUCCCUAAGAAUAUGUUAAGUGUGUACGAAGAGUGUCUUGAACCUGAGACAGUGGGGAGGUAGGCUCAGAAGCAGCCAUCCUUUAAAGAAAGCGUAACAGCUCACCCAUCGAGGUUCUCGGCCUCGUAAAUGGACGGGGCUAAACAUAUCACCGAUACCUCAAUGUUAUCCAUUUGGAUAAUCAAGUAAGCAGGCGUUCUGUUCGAGUAGAAGCAUUUUCGAGAGAAAGUGUGGAUUGAAUGGAAACGAGAAUCUUGGCGUAAGUAGGAGCAGAGUCAUGUGAGAACCAUGAUCACCGCAAGAGUAAGGGUUUCUCGGCAACAACGAUUGGCCGAGAUUUAGUCGGUUCCUAACUGUUUUCUUAACUGAGAAACGGGAAUGGGAAUCACGUUAAUAUUCGUGAACUACUUAGGUGCCGCAAGGCGUUUUUUUGAUUACAUUUUAUGAUAAGCAGAGAAAUUUGAAAGGAUUUUUUUCAUGUCGAAAUUUUUGGAGUGUUGUAAUAACGAGAAGAAGACCAAGACAUGCGACGAAAGUUUGCUGAUUCGUGGAAUCCGUGAAAAGUUCAAAAAAGAAAACUAAGUAGCCGUACCUAGAACCAACACAGGUACUCUAUCUAAGUAAGAUAAGGUGUGAAAGGUAUAAGCCAGCUAAGGGAAUUCGGCAUAUUAGUCCCGUGCCCUCGGCAUAAGGGAUGCCUAUUUUUGUAUUUUUUCGAAAGAUGAAGUGCGAGAGUAGGUUUCAAUAUCAAGGAAAGCCCGACUGUUUACUAAAAACGUAGCUAAUUGCAAAUCCGAAAGGAUGUGUACAAUUGGUGAAGCCUGCUCAGCGUCGGUGUCUCAAACUUUCUUUCAAGGAAGCUAAGGCCCGGCAAGCGGCGGGGGUAACUAUGACCCUCUUAAGGUAAAAGUUUCAUUACGAUUGCCUUAUCAAAAUUUGGCUAUAUGCGGAAACAUCUGAGAAUUCCAAACUACAACGAUAAACUUAAAGAAAAACUUAUAAGUUUAGUUCGCGUAAAAAUGUUAUGGAUGCAGAAAAUCCGCAGGAAAGAUUAGAUGCUAAAUGGAUUGUAGGUUUUACAGACGGAGAAGGUUGCUUUCAUAUAGCAAUCAAUCGAAUUCCAGAAAUGAGUUUAGGAUGGCAGGUGCUUCCAGAAUUCAGAAUUGUUCAACAUGAACGCGAUGAAUUGCUUCUUCAUAAAAUCAAAGAAUAUUUUGGUUUUGGGGAAGUAACAAUAAAUCGCAAAGACAACCAUGGAAUCAGAAAAGAAUUCAGAGUCAGAGGAUUGGAAAAUUUGAAUAAAUUAGUAAAUUUUUUCAAAGAAAAUCCUUUAAUGACAAAAAAGAAAAAAGAUUUUGAAAUUUUUUCUGAAGUGAUUGGCAUGAUGAACAGAAAUGAACAUCUGAAAAAAGAAGGACUUGACAAAAUUGCAAAACUGAUUUCUGAAAUGAAUGAAAAACCACAAAUAAAGUAUCUAAAAUCCUCAGAGACUAUACGCCAGAUUCAGAAUUAAAAUUCUGAAAAGAUAUAGUCCGAACUGCAUGGCAACAUGCAGAAAAUAACAGAAAUGUUAUUUCAUCCAAAAUUUAUCAAAAUUUUGGUGUAACAUAAUUGAGCGUAAUACCUUGUCGUCUGAAUGGCGACUUGCAUGAAUGGCGCAACGAGGUUUUCACUGUCCCUAGCUGGUACCUUCUGAACUCUCCCUUCUGGUGAAAAGGCCAGAGAAUCCUAAUGGGAAGCGGAGACCUUGUAGACCUUUACUGCAGCCUGCUAUUGUGUUUUUGUGAAGAGUGCCUAGCGUAAGUAGGAGAGAUGAAGCGUAGUUUCGGCGAGGCGGAUCGACAAUGUAAAACUACUUAUUUUUUACGACAAUGCUUAUCUGAA
RNAcentral lists this ribosomal RNA (2924 nucleotides) under Candidatus Pacearchaeota archaeon CG06_land_8_20_14_3_00_35_12. RNAcentral describes it as "bacterial LSU rRNA". It matches the Rfam family "Archaeal large subunit ribosomal RNA", at positions 12 to 2308 of the family's 2987-position model. Lineage: Archaea; Nanobdellati. The record is from RNAcentral.